UACGAAGGGUGCAAACGUUGCUCGGAAUCAUUGGGCGUAAAGCGCACGUAGGCGGCCUCAUAAGUCGGAUGUGAAAUCCCUCGGCUCAACCGAGGACGUGCAUCCGAAACUGUGAAGCUCGAGUAUGGAAGAGGGUCGCGGAAUUCCCGGUGUAGAGGUGAAAUUCGUAGAUAUCGGGAGGAACACCAGUGGCGAAGGCGGCGACCUGGGCCAAUACUGACGCUGAGGUGCGAAGGCUGGGGUAGCGAACAGG
This 253-nucleotide ribosomal RNA is filed under the name uncultured bacterium. Its description in RNAcentral is "partial 16S ribosomal RNA". It matches the Rfam family "Bacterial small subunit ribosomal RNA", at positions 524 to 776 of the family's 1533-position model. The record is from RNAcentral.